Molecule: transfer RNA, 83 nt
Filed under: Bifidobacterium callimiconis
Lineage: Bacteria; Bacillati; Actinomycetota; Actinomycetes; Bifidobacteriales; Bifidobacteriaceae
Description: Bifidobacterium sp. 2028B tRNA-Leu
Rfam family: tRNA
About the family: Transfer RNA (tRNA) molecules are approximately 80 nucleotides in length. Their secondary structure includes four short double-helical elements and three loops (D, anti-codon, and T loops).
Source: RNAcentral
GCCCCUGUGGCGAAAUCGGUAUACGCAGCUGACUUAAAAUCAGCCGCUUCGGCUUGCGGGUUCGAGUCCCGCCGGGGGCACCG